GAAGAGAAGGAGCUUAAGAGCUAGCCUCUUUUGCCUUUCUUUCUUUCGAGGUAACUGCUUAUCAGAUGUCAAAGAUGAUUGAUUGAUUGAGCAUAUAUUUUUGUGCCACUGUGUGCCAGGCACUGUUCAGUGCUGCUAUGUGUUUUGGGGGGCAUGGCGUUGGGGGAGUGUACCAGGGAUUGACCUCAGGGGCACUCAACCACUGAGCCACAUCCCAGCCCUUUUUUGUAUUUUAUUUAGAGACAGGGUCUCACUGAGUUGCUUAGUGUCUUGGUUUUUGCUGAGGCUGGCUUUGAACUUGGGAUCCUCCUGCCUCAGCCUGCUGAGCCACUGGGAUUACAGGCGUGGGCACCACCACACCAGGCUGCUGUGUGCUCUUCACGUAGCAUAUCACUGAAUAAGUUCAGCAUCCAGGUAACUGGACAGCAAGGUUAAUAGCACCAGGAGGGAAAUACCGAGAUAGCAGCAGGUAAAAAGGAGCAUUCAGCUCUAGUUUGCUUCGUAGUCAUACAUGUGUGUCUUAUCUGCUCUAUGCGGUCCCACAUGGUGGAACCUUCUCUAUCAUGUUGACAACUUCAUUUGUCUGGAAAGCCAGAAGCAAAUAUGGAAGUCGUUGGGAAGACUUGACACUCUGAAUGAAGACUUUGAAGAACACUUAAGAGCUUAUCUGUAGGACUUUGAAAACCCUGACCCCUCCUUAUCCUGUGGGCUUUGAAACCCACUCUCAGGUGAAUGUUCAGCAGGUGUUCUCCAGAGAGAGAGGGCAGGAUCUGAAGGUGGGAGCUUGGUGUGGUGAGGUCAGUGUCCACCCAACUGGACGUUGGGUCUGCAGAGGGUGUUAAUAGGAGGCUUGGACUCGGGAGGCAGCAGGACUCGGGCUCACAAGGACAUGGUCACCUGAUAACUCUAAAUGAGUCUCUGAGCUCCAGAAUUGCACCCAAAGGAUGCCCUUCUUCUGUCCAGCCCCUCUGUCCCAGAUUGAUCUUGGAAGUGAGCCCUCCAAGUGACCUCUCAGCACUCCAGCCUCUCUCCCUGGUAUGAGAUUAGAAAUUUUAAAAUUCCAGCCACAAGCACUCAGGGCUACAAAAUGAAGAGAUUUUUUUUUUCAUGAGUUCAGUUAUAAAAAUAGCAACAAUUCUUGAAAGGAGACGUUUAUGUUGGGUUAGUGCCAGUUGCAACGUUGUUGUGUGUGUGUGUGUGUGUGUGUAAUUGUGGCUUCUUGAACAUGGUAAGUUUCUUCCCUGGUGGGGAAGGGGAGAGGUCUGACUUUGGGUUUGGUUCUCUUUCCACUGACCAGGGAAUCAGGAGUCAGCCCAUUUGAACCCCUGCUGCUGGUUUGCUGUGAUUUUGUGGGAAAAUCGGUCAGAUUGGCUUCCUCCCUUUUCUAUCCAUCCUUCCCUCCUGUUAAAACAGAUAAGGUGCCAUUAUGUAGUUGCACAGUUUGCUGCACAAAAGGGGAGGGAAAGAAUCUUUGCUCUUCCUGAGACAAGGCCAGAAUGGUAAAAUCAUUAAUUCAAGAAAUUUAAGUUAAAGGAAAAAAAAAAAAAGACUUGUUUGUAGAACAAGAUGGAGAAAAACAUGUUUCAGGCUGGCUAAUCUAAUCACUCCCAGAGAGCAGCCUGUUUUCUUACUUGCUGGAUCCCUUCCACUUUACAUUCUCACAGGGAACAAUAUAUUAAGUACAGUAUUUAGAAAUAUUUGUUGAAUCCUACUGUCUGAUUUUGGCAAGUCCCAAGGAAAAAAAGGAUAUGUCUUGGCCUGCUCGGGCCUUCUGGGGAGGACCUUGGAGCUUUCCCAGAAAGGCUGGCUUCCACUGUGGGAAACGCUGGCUCAGGAGAUAACGCUGUGGCGGUCUGGUUUCAGAGGGCACCGAGUUUGCUCUGGGUUUCUCGAGCACCAUAGCUGAUCUGAGUCUCCCUGUCUGAACUCCAAGUGUGGGUUAGCCUUUCCUCCUGUGAAUGCCGUCAUUUCCUCCUGCAGGGCUGCUAACUUUAACCCACUCUUCCUGUCCCCCAGCGAGUGGGCUGAGCUCACCGGCUCCAAAAUAUCCAGUGUGUGUGUGAGAACAGAGCGCGUGGCCAGUGAGAAUGGUCCCAAGCUGGGGCCUUCUGCACUGGGUGUCCGUGGCUGAGGCGACUGCUCCUGGGGAGCUCAGAGGCUUGGGUAAACCCUGAAGCGGAUUCUCUUUCAAUGUGGCCAUCCCAUGGCAUUGACGGAGUCCAUCUAGUUUGCGGUGGAAAUAAAGAUGAAAUAUUUCAGAAGUCAUGUUAUGGCUCCCGGACUCAAACGUAUGCUAAAAUAAAAGUGUUUCAUUACUAGGGAGAUAAGUGAAAUACAUUCUCUCAGCUUAAUGUAUCUGGCAUAAAACGGUUUUUAUGAAAUACUCACGCAAGGACUUUUCUUGCAGACUGAUUCCGCUGGUGGCUUCAAUGUGGAGUGGUUUUAUCUG
RNAcentral lists this long non-coding RNA (2449 nucleotides) under Marmota monax (woodchuck). The record is from RNAcentral. Lineage: Eukaryota; Metazoa; Chordata; Mammalia; Rodentia; Sciuridae.